GGGGAAUUUUCCGCAAUGGGCGAAAGCCUGACGGAGCAAUACCGCGUGAGGGAGGAAGGCUCUUGGGUUGUAAACCUCUUUUCUCAGGGAAUAAGAAAGUGAAGGUACCUGAGGAAUAAGCAUCGGCUAACUCCGUGCCAGCAGCCGCGGUAAUACGGAGGAUGCAAGCGUUAUCCGGAAUGAUUGGGCGUAAAGCGUCCGCAGGUGGCGAUGUAAGUCUGCUGUUAAAGAGCAAAGCUUAACUUUGUAAAAGCAGUGGAAACUACAUAGCUAGAGUACGUUCGGGGCAGAGGGAAUUCCUGGUGUAGCGGUGAAAUGCGUAGAGAUCAGGAAGAACACCGGUGGCGAAGGCGCUCUGCUAGGCCGUAACUGACACUGAGGGACGAAAGCUAGGGGAGCGAAUGGGAUUAGAUACCCCAGUAGUCCUAGCCGUAAACGAUGGAUACUAGGCGUUGCGAGUAUCGACCCUCGCAGUGCCGGAGCCAACGCGUUAAGUAUCCCGCCUGGGGAGUACGCACGCAAGUGUGAAACUCAAAGGAAUUGACGGGGGCCCGCACAAGCGGUGGAGUAUGUGGUUUAAUUCGAUGCAACGCGAAGAACCUUACCAAGACUUGACAUGUCGCGAAUCCUCUUGAAAGGGAGGAGUGCCUUAGGGAGCGCGAACACAGGUGGUGCAUGGCUGUCGUCAGCUCGUGUCGUGAGAUGUUGGGUUAAGUCCCGCAACGAGCGCAACCCUCGUUUUUAGUUGCCAGCAUUAAGUUGGGCACUCUAGAGAGACUGCCGGUGACAAACCGGAGGAAGGUGGGGAUGACGUCAAGUCAGCAUGCCCCUUACGUCUUGGGCUACACACGUACUACAAUGCUACGAACAGAGGGCAGCAAGCUAGCGAUAGCAAGCAAAUCCCGGAAAUCGUAGCUCAGUUCAGAUCGAAGCUUGCAACUCAGCUUCGUGAAGGAGGAAUCGCUAGUAAUUGCAGGUCAGCAUACUGCAGUGAAUUCGUUCCCGGGCCUUGUACACACCGCCCGUCACACCAUGGAAGCUGGCAACGCCCGAAGUCAUUACCCCAACUUUUAGGAGAGGGGGAUGCCUAAGGCAGUGCUGGUGACUGGGGUGAAGUCGUAACAAGGUAGCCGUACCGGAAGGUGUGGCUGGAUCACCUCCUUUUAGGGAGACCUACCCAACUGUAAAAUCGGUUGCCAAAAGCAAGAUAGAGAAUACAGAUGGUCAAACCUAGGUCGGUCGAGGUUGGUUAGAGCUUUCAAAGUAUUGUUUGGUUUAGUCAGCAUUUCAUAAAAAAAGGAAAAAACAGCAACUAACUCUCGUUAGACUGCUGGGUAAAAAAUCCUAGCCAGAACCUUGAAAACUGCAUAGAAACGCGAUUAAAAGCAGGCAGACACAGACAUCGAAAGAUGUAAGUGAAUGCAGGUGAGACACCAAAUGUAUUGUGGUCAAGCGAAUAAGAGCUAAUGGUGGAUACCUAGGCACACAGAG
Molecule: unclassified non-coding RNA, 1491 nt
Filed under: Nostocaceae cyanobacterium HA4266-MV2
Lineage: Bacteria; Bacillati; Cyanobacteriota; Cyanophyceae; Nostocales; Nostocaceae
Description: bacterial SSU rRNA
Rfam family: Bacterial small subunit ribosomal RNA (bases 1-1164)
Source: RNAcentral